Molecule: long non-coding RNA, 362 nt
Filed under: Astyanax mexicanus (Mexican tetra)
Lineage: Eukaryota; Metazoa; Chordata; Actinopteri; Characiformes; Acestrorhamphidae
Description: lncRNA (ENSAMXG00005001325.1)
Source: RNAcentral
AUGGGCUUGAGCAACCUUGUACAACACCCCUACAAUAACCUACAGUCUUGUACAACAUCCCACAUUCUUGUACAACACCCUAAAGUCCUGUGCAACACCCCUACAAGAACCUACAGUCUUGUACAACACCCCUACAGCACCCUAUAUAUUUCUGUACAACACCUUUACAACACCCUACAGUCCUGUACAACUCCCCUACAACACCCUACAGUCCUGUACACACCCUACAGUCCUGUACAACACCCCUACAACACCCUACAGUCCUGUACAACACCCCUACAACACCCUACAGUCCUGUACAACACCCCUACAACACCCUACAGUCCUGUACAACACCCCUACAACACCCUACAGUCCUGUAC